This 465-nucleotide ribosomal RNA is filed under the name uncultured bacterium. Its description in RNAcentral is "partial 16S ribosomal RNA". It matches the Rfam family "Bacterial small subunit ribosomal RNA", at positions 29 to 507 of the family's 1533-position model. The record is from RNAcentral.
ACGAACGCUGGCGGCGCGCCUAACACAUGCAAGUCGAACGAGCGAGAGAGAGCUUGCUUUCUUGAGCGAGUGGCGAACGGGUGAGUAACGCGUGAGGAACCUGCCUCAAAGAGGGGGACAACAGUUGGAAACGACUGCUAAUACCGCAUAAGCCCACGGUGCCGCAUGGCACAGAGGGAAAAGGAGCAAUCCGCUUUGAGAUGGCCUCGCGUCCGAUUAGCUAGUUGGUGAGGUAACGGCCCACCAAGGCGACGAUCGGUAGCCGGACUGAGAGGUUGAACGGCCACAUUGGGACUGAGACACGGCCCAGACUCCUACGGGAGGCAGCAGUGGGGAAUAUUGCACAAUGGGGGAAACCCUGAUGCAGCGACGCCGCGUGGAGGAAGAAGGUCUUCGGAUUGUAAACUCCUGUUGUUGGGGAAGAUAAUGACGGUACCCAACAAGGAAGUGACGGCUAACUAUGUG